GUGAAUCAUCGAAUUUUUGAACGCAAAUUGCACUCUCUUCGAAGAGUAUGACUGUUUGAGGGUCAGACUAAGAAAAAUCGACAUUGUUGCUGUUACGCGGUAACAUUCGGCGGAUAUGGGGUCAUCUUAAACCUUUGGGUUUAAGCGGCUUAAAAUUUUCUUUACAAUUCCAAGGACGUUUCUAAGAUUGUAUUUUCUUAUACGUUUAAGGUAUCUAUCUGUAUUAGACGUGGCUGUUGCAUGGGAUCUCG
This 251-nucleotide unclassified non-coding RNA is filed under the name Glomus sp. Its description in RNAcentral is "partial contains 5.8S ribosomal RNA and internal transcribed spacer 2". The stretch from base 1 to 65 matches the Rfam family "5.8S ribosomal RNA", at positions 84 to 154 of the family's 154-position model. The record is from RNAcentral. Lineage: Eukaryota; Fungi; Glomeromycota; Glomeromycetes; Glomerales; Glomeraceae.